RNAcentral lists this ribosomal RNA (1038 nucleotides) under Triticum aestivum (bread wheat). Its description in RNAcentral is "partial small subunit ribosomal RNA". The record is from RNAcentral. Lineage: Eukaryota; Viridiplantae; Streptophyta; Magnoliopsida; Poales; Poaceae.
AUGCAACAACUUGGUUUUGUCCCUUCUAAGUCUGACACCUCACUAUUCAUUUACAACAAGCACAAUAUACACAUAUUUGUGCUCAUAUAUGUUGAUGAUAUAAUUGUCACAAGCUCAUCAGAUGAGGCUGUCACAGGGCUCUUGAAAGAUCUCAGCACAGAGUUUGCCCUCAAGGAUCUUGGAGAUUUGCAUUAUUUCCUAGGGAUUGAGGUGAAGAAACAUGAGGAUGGACUUCAUCUCUCUCAGGAGAAGUAUGCGGCAGAUCUAGUAAAGAAGGCAGGUCUACAAAGUUGUAAGCCCUCACCCACUCCUAUGUCAAGUUCAGAAAAGAUAUCUCUCACAGAAGGACAUCUUUUGAGUCCAGAUGAUAGCACAAAGUAUAGAAGUCUAGUGGGUGCACUUCAAUAUCUUACACUUACUAGACCUGAUAUUUCAUUUGCUGUCAACAAAGUCUGUCAGUUUCUUCAUGCACCCACUUCUGUUCACCUGACUGCUGCUAAACGUGUUGUUCGAUAUGUCAAGAAUACUGCCAAUAUUGGUCUGAAUUUCAGCAAGUCAUCCUCUACACUUGUAAGUGCUUUUUCAGACCCUGACUGGGCAGGUUGCUUGGAUGAUAGAAGGUCCACUGGUGGUUUUGCAAUUUUCUUUGGCCCAAACUUGAUAUCCUGGUGUGCAAGAAAACAAGCCACAGUUUCUAGGUCCAGUACAGAGGCAGAGUAUAAGGCACUGGCAAAUGCCACAGCUGAGGUCAUAUGGGUACAAUCCAUGUUAAGAGAACUUGGUAUCCGAAGUAGUCAAGUUCCCUGUUUAUGGUGUGAUAACUUGGGUGCCACAUACUUAUCUGCAAAUCCAGUCUUUCAUGCCAGAACAAAACAUAUUGAGAUAGACUUUCAUUUUGUGAGAGAAAUGGUUGCCAAGAAGCAACUUCAGAUUCAGUUUGUGCAUUCCAGAGAUCAAAUUGCGGAUGGAUUCACAAAACCGUUACCUACAAGAAGUUUUGGAGAGUUUAAACAUAAUCUCAACUUGAUGAAGUUGUGA